GGGGCAUGGUCUAGGUAUAAGGCAUUAUACCGUGAAACUGCGAAUGGCUCAUUAAAUCAGUUAUCGUUUAUUUGAUAGUACCUUACUACUUGGAUAACCGUGGUAAUUCUAGAGCUAAUACAUGCUGAAAACCCCAACUUCGGGAGGGGUGUAUUUAUUAGAUAAAAAACCAACGCCCUUCGGGGCUUCUUGGUGAUUCAUGAUAACUUUACGGAUCGCAUGGCCUUGCGCCGGCGACGGUUCAUUCAAAUUUCUGCCCUAUCAACUUUCGAUGGUAAGGUAUUGGCUUACCAUGGUUUCAACGGGUAACGGGGAAUUAGGGUUCGAUUCCGGAGAGCGAGCCUGAGAGACGGCUAGCACAUCCAAGGAAGGCAGCAGGCGCGCAAAUUACCCAAUCCCGACACGGGGAGGUAGUGACAAUAAAUACUGAUACAGGGCUCUUUUGGGUCUUGUAAUUGGAAUGAGUACAAUUUAAACCUCUUAACGAGGAACAAUUGGAGGGCAAGUCUGGUGCCAGCAGCCGCGGUAAUUCCAGCUCCAAUAGCGUAUAUUAAAGUUGUUGCAGUUAAAAAGCUCGUAGUUGAAACUUGGGUCUGGCUGGCAGGUCCGCCUCACCGCGUGUACUUGUCCGGCCGGGCCUUCCUUCUGGAGAACCUCAUGCCCUUCACUGGGCGUGUUGGGGACCAGGACUUUUACUUUGAAAAAAUUAGAGUGUUCAAAGCAGGCCUUUGCUCGAAUACGUUAGCAUGGAAUAAUAGAAUAGGACGUGCGGUUCUAUUUUGUUGGUUUCUAGGACCGCCGUAAUGAUUAAUAGGGACAGUCGGGGGCAUCAGUAUUCAAUUGUCAGAGGUGAAAUUCUUGGAUUUAUUGAAGACUAACUACUGCGAAAGCAUUUGCCAAGGAUGUUUUCAUUAAUCAGUGAACGAAAGUUAGGGGAUCGAAGACGAUCAGAUACCGUCGUAGUCUUAACCGUAAACUAUGCCGACUAGGGAUCGGGCGAUGUUCUUUUUUUUGACUCGCUCGGCACCUUUACGAGAAAUCAAAGUUUUUGGGUUCUGGGGGGGGAGUAUGGUCGCAAGGCUGAAACUAGAGAUUUGUGUGGGCGGAGAGAGA
Molecule: ribosomal RNA, 1113 nt
Filed under: Parafenestella changchunensis
Lineage: Eukaryota; Fungi; Ascomycota; Dothideomycetes; Pleosporales; Cucurbitariaceae
Description: SSU rRNA
Rfam family: Eukaryotic small subunit ribosomal RNA
Source: RNAcentral